Molecule: long non-coding RNA, 505 nt
Filed under: Bos indicus x Bos taurus (hybrid cattle)
Lineage: Eukaryota; Metazoa; Chordata; Mammalia; Artiodactyla; Bovidae
Description: lncRNA (ENSBIXG00005020007.1)
Source: RNAcentral
CAUUGAUGGGAGAGACACCCCAUGGCUCAGAUUUAUGAAAAUAUGCAUCAGAUUUGAAAUCGCUUACCUGAAAUGAGUAUACCAUUAUAUCAGAGCUGUAAGUGAGAAACAUGUUAUUUUUCUUCUUUUACCAGUGAAACAAGUUUUUGUUUUUUUUUUCAGACAUAUCCUUGUAAUUUCUUUUUUUUGCAGUUCUUUCAAGUCGUUCUCUGGAAAAUUUCCUGAAAUUGCCAAGAAUCUGCCACUUUCAAUAAUAUCGACUCUGAAAGAGAGAGAGAGAGGCUAGGAGAGACCGUGGGGGACAGAAGUGUUGAUUGCUGCCCAUGGCCAUGCUGGUUUAUGAAGUGAGAUGGUCGGAAGCAGGACAGAAAUUGAAUAUACCAAUCAGGAAGGAGGAGCUAUUUAAUAGUAGCAACUUUGGAACACUGAAACUAAGUAAGUAGAUACACAGUAAGCAGCACCAAAGCAAAAAGUACUCCAUGAUUCCAUUAUAUGGAGCUGUGAC